CGUAUCAGGGGUAGGGGAGCGUCAUGUAUGAGGUGAAGUCGUAGCGGAAGCGGCGGUGGAUUGUACAUGAGAGAGAAUGCCGGAAUGAGAAGCGAGAAUUAUGUGAGAAUCAUAAUGGCCGAAAAUCUAAGGUUUCCUGAGGAAGGUUCGUCCGCUCAGGGUAAGCCGGGAGCUAAGGUGAGGCGGAAACGCGUAGCCGAUGCACAUACGGUAGAGAUUCCGUAGCCUCCGAAAAGUAAAGCACAGGGACGUUUCAGAAGUGUUACGCCGGGCGAUGGUAGCCCCGGUUGUAAAGGACACAAUUGAGUGGAAGGUAACAUGGGUGGAGACAAGAAAAGCUGUGUGUAUCUGGAAGGAGCCGUACCGCAAACCGACACAGGUAGAUAGGAAGAAGAUUCUAAGGCCAGCGGGAGAAGGGUUGUUAAGGAACUCGGCAAGUUGACCCCGUAACUUCGGGAGAAGGGGUGCUUACGAAGGUAAGCCGCAGAGAAUAGGCCCAAGCGACUGUUUAGCAAAAACACAGCUCUAUGCUAAAUCGAAAGAUGACGUAUAUGGGGUGACACCUGCCCAGUGCUGGAAGGUUAAGAGGAGAUGUGAGAGCAUUGAAUUGAAGCCCCAGUAAACGGCGGCCGUAACAAUAACGGUCCUAAGGUAGCGAAAUUCCUUGUCAGGUAAGUUCUGACCCGCACGAAUGGUGUAACGAUUUGGGCACUGUCUCAACAACCUACCCGGCGAAAUUGUAGUACCGGUGAAGAUGCCGGUUACCCGCGACUAGACGGAAAGACCCCAUGGAGCUUCACUGUAGCUUAAUAUUGAAUUUUGGUAUUUCAUGUACAGGAUAGGUGGGAGACUGGGAAAUACAGGCGUCAGCUUGCAUGGAGUCACUGUUGGGAUACCACUCUUGAGGUGCUGAAAUUCUAACCUGCGUCUUUGAAUCAAGACGGGGGACAUUGUUAGGUGGGCAGUUUGACUGGGGCGGUCGCCUCCAAAAGAGUAACGGAGGCGCUCAAAGGUUCGCUCAGCAUGGACGGAAACCAUGCCAAAGAGUGCAAACGCAAAAGCGAGCCUAACUGCGAGACUGACGGGUCGAGCAGUAACGAAAGUUGGAGUUAGUGAUCCGGCGGUAUGUGAGUGGAAAUGCCGUCGCUCAACGGAUAAAAGCUACCCUGGGGAUAACAGGCUGAUCUCCCCCAAGAGUCCACAUCGACGGGGAGGUUUGGCACCUUGAUGUCGGCUCAUCGCAUCCUGGGGCUGAAUUCGGUCCCAAGGGUUUGGCUGUUCGCCAAUUAAAGCGGUACGCGAGCUGGGUUCAGAACGUCGUGAGACAGUUCGGUCCCUAUCUGUCGUGGGCGUAGGAUAUUUGAAAGGAGCUGUCCCUAGUACGAGAGGACCGGGAUGGACGCACCUCUGGUGAACCAGUUGUCACGCCAGUGGCACGGCUGGGCAGCUAAGUGCGGAACGGAUAAACGCUGGAAGCAUCUAAGCGUGAAGCCGACCUUAAGAUAAGAUAUCCGUUCUUCGGAAUAAGACCCCUUGUAGACUACGAGGUUGAUAGGCUUAAAGUGUAAGCAUGGUGACAUGUUUAGCUUGCAAGUACUAAUCGGUCGAUUGCUUUUCCU
Molecule: ribosomal RNA, 1619 nt
Filed under: metagenome
Description: bacterial LSU rRNA
Rfam family: Bacterial large subunit ribosomal RNA
Source: RNAcentral